CCCCUACGGGAGGCAGCAGUGAGGAAUAUUGGUCAAUGGGCGAGAGCCUGAACCAGCCAAGUAGCGUGCAGGAUGACGGCCCUAUGGGUUGUAAACUGCUUUUAUGUGGGGAUAAAGUGAGCUACGUGUAGUUUAUUGCAGGUACCACAUGAAUAAGGACCGGCUAAUUCCGUGCCAGCAGCCGCGGUAAUGGGG
Molecule: ribosomal RNA, 195 nt
Filed under: uncultured bacterium
Lineage: Bacteria
Description: partial 16S ribosomal RNA
Rfam family: Bacterial small subunit ribosomal RNA
Source: RNAcentral